GCUGGGUGUGGUGGCGCACACCUGUAAUCCCAGCUACAUGGGGGCUGAGGCAGGAGGAUCACUUGAACCCAGGAGACAGAGGUUGCAGUCAGCCAAGAUCUCACCACUGCACUCUAGCCUGGGUGACAGAGUGAGACUCCGCCUCAA
This 147-nucleotide signal recognition particle RNA is filed under the name Pan troglodytes (chimpanzee). Its description in RNAcentral is "Metazoan signal recognition particle RNA". It matches the Rfam family "Metazoan signal recognition particle RNA". Rfam says of the family: The signal recognition particle (SRP) is a universally conserved ribonucleoprotein. Lineage: Eukaryota; Metazoa; Chordata; Mammalia; Primates; Hominidae. The record is from Rfam by way of RNAcentral.